Molecule: ribosomal RNA, 396 nt
Filed under: uncultured bacterium
Lineage: Bacteria
Description: bacterial SSU rRNA
Rfam family: Bacterial small subunit ribosomal RNA
Source: RNAcentral
AAUAUUGCGCAAUGGAGGAAACUCUGACGCAGUGACGCCGCGUAUAGGAUGACGGUUUUCGGAUUGUAAACUAUUGUCGUUAGGGAAGAUAAUAGACAGUACCUAAGGUGGAAGCUCCGGCAAACUACGUGCCAGCAGCCGCGGUAAUACGUAGGGAGCAAGCGUUAUCCGGAUUUAUUGGGUGUAAAGGGUGCGUAGACGGGAAAUUAAGUUAGUUGUGAAAUCCCUCGGCUCAACUGAGGAACUGCAACUAAAACUGGUUUUCUUGAGUGCAGGAGAGGAAAGAGGAAUUCCUAGUGUAGCGGUGAAAUGCGUAGAUAUUAGGAGGAACACCAGUGGCGAAGGCGUCUUUCUGGACUGUAACUGACGUUGAGGCACAAAAGUGUGGGGAGCAAA